AUGCCCGUCUGCAUGCCCUGGAGCUCCACCCACAUCGCUGGCUGCUCAGGUUGUUUUGAUCUCGUUCCUCACAGUAAGCUGCAGGGGGCGCCAGCAAGCUCAGAGGAGUCGGACCGCAGCAGUCCGGCCCUGACCGACCCGGUGGUAUUCUCUCCUCACCCACAGCAACACAACCGCCGCAGUGAGUACUUGAAAGAGGUGCAGGGUGAACUGACCCACAGAGUAGAGAAUGGUCAGUUUAGCAGGUUUGAGACUGUAAGGGGAGAGAUAAGACUUGUUGCAGGUGGGUUAGCCUUGCUGUGUUCGUGUGUUUCAGGUUGGCCUGGCACCUCCAACUCUGUGGACAUCUGUGAAGGCCUUGAAGACUGGGCCACCGACCUGUCCUUUAUCUCAGACUCUGAUGAGGAGGAUGACAAUGCGGUGGUUCCUGGGAGGUACCGAGCGAUGGUUGACCACUUGAAGUGCGGCAAAGACGACCUCAUUAUAAAGCACGGAGACGUCAUUCAUGUUCUGCAGGAAAACACAGCAGGGCUCUGGCAAGUUAAAAACCUGACCCGAGGAGGAGAAGGAAGGCUUCCUGUUGAUACCCUGCUGAGAAUUCUGGGAAAUGUAGGCAGAAGUCAUGUGAUCAGCCCAGGAGGUGAGUUUGUGGCAAGGAAAAUCUGA
RNAcentral lists this long non-coding RNA (666 nucleotides) under Astyanax mexicanus (Mexican tetra). RNAcentral's name for it is "lncRNA (ENSAMXG00005008006.1)". Lineage: Eukaryota; Metazoa; Chordata; Actinopteri; Characiformes; Acestrorhamphidae. The record is from RNAcentral.